GCUUCAAGUGUCUUCAUGACUCAAACCUCAUAGAUUGCGCCCAAAUCGAAUCCUUGAAAGUUAAAACCCUAGUUUAUCUUCUUACAAAAUCUUUUAAAUUCUAUCUUCUAGCUGCUUUUCUGCUUCUCCGAUGGUUAUCAUCCAUAGUUAUUCCCUUGUUUCCCCUCUCGAAACCAGAGCUAUCUAAUCGCUUCAUUUGCCCC
Molecule: unclassified non-coding RNA, 203 nt
Filed under: Hevea brasiliensis (rubber tree)
Lineage: Eukaryota; Viridiplantae; Streptophyta; Magnoliopsida; Malpighiales; Euphorbiaceae
Source: RNAcentral